UAACGCGAAGAACCUUACCUACCCUUGACAUGUACGGAAUCCUGCUGAGAGGCGGGAGUGCCCGAAAGGGAGCCGUAACACAGGUGCUGCAUGGCUGUCGUCAGCUCGUGUCGUGAGAUGUUGGGUUAAGUCCCGCAACGAGCGCAACCCUUGUCCCUAGUUGCUACGCAAGAGCACUCCAGGGAGACUGCCGGUGACAAACCGGAGGAAGGUGGGGAUGACGUCAAGUCCUCAUGGCCCUUAUGGGUAGGGCUUCACACGUCAUACAAUGGUCGGAACAGAGGGUUGCCAAGCCGCGAGGUGGAGCCAAUCCCAGAAAACCGAUCGUAGUCCGGAUCGCAGUCUGCAACUCGACUGCGUGAAUGCUGGAAUCGCUGAGUAAUCGCGGAUCAGCAUGUACGCGGGAGUACGACCGUU
RNAcentral lists this ribosomal RNA (417 nucleotides) under Paraburkholderia tropica. RNAcentral describes it as "bacterial SSU rRNA". It matches the Rfam family "Bacterial small subunit ribosomal RNA", at positions 957 to 1370 of the family's 1533-position model. The record is from RNAcentral. Lineage: Bacteria; Pseudomonadati; Pseudomonadota; Betaproteobacteria; Burkholderiales; Burkholderiaceae.